AAAGUUUCAUCUAUGGGGUACCCAGCCCCUUAGAUGGAGGCGGUGGGCCUGGCUUCUCCUUGGGGUGUAAAGUAGCUUCUUCGUAUGGUAGAAAGUGUAAGAACUUUAGACUGACUUGGAUUCAUAUCCUGACUCACUCCAGCUGUAUGCAUCUGGGCUAGUCAUCCCACCUCCCUGGGCCUUUGGUUUCUCCUCUCAAAAAUGGGAAAAAUUGAGGCGCCUGGCUGGCUCAGUCAGUACAGCAUGUGACCCUUGAUCUCAGCUGAGGUUGUAGGUUCAAGCCCCACACUGGGUACAGAGAUUACUUAAAAAUAAAAAAUCUUUUGGGUGCCUGAGUGGCUCAGAUGGUUAAGUGUCUGCCUUCAGCUCAGGUCAUGAUCCCGGGGACCUGGGAUUGAGCCCUGUGUCAGGCUCCCUACUCUGUGGGGAGCCUACUUCUCCCUCUCCCUCUGCCCGCUGCUCCCUCUGUUUGCGCUCUUUCUCUCUGUGUGUCAAAUAAAUAAAUAAAUAAAAUCUUAAAAAAAAAUAAAACAUGUUUUUAAAAAAUGGGCAAGAUAAUUAUUUUAUGGGUUAUGUGGAGAAUCAAAUUAAUUAAUAGUUACAAAUUACCAAGUGAGGGUCUGGCACAUACUGAAGGUGUCGCAAAUCUAGCAUUUUAUUCCUUACUCCCAACAGAAGAGGCAGCCAGGCAGGAAUCAGGAAGCUCAGAGACACAAAGGGACUUGACCAAGGAUGCACAGCAGACCAGCACGUUCCAGAAUUCCAGCUUUGUUAUUCCAUGUUCUUGAAUGGGUUCGAGACCUCACGUUACAGAUGGGAAGACUGAGGCCCAGCCACCAGAGGCAGAACCCUGGGGCUUGCUCACCAGUUCUCCUGGGCCUGUCGCAUGGGUCGUGGACACCAAGGCUGG
RNAcentral lists this long non-coding RNA (910 nucleotides) under Vulpes vulpes (red fox). RNAcentral's name for it is "lncRNA (ENSVVUG00000004666.1)". Lineage: Eukaryota; Metazoa; Chordata; Mammalia; Carnivora; Canidae. The record is from RNAcentral.